GCAUUAGGAAAAAAUCAUCCAAAACAAAUUGAGGAAUUUACUGCUCCACUUGCAAACGAAUCCCAGUUCAGACAAUUUGACAUUAACCUCAAGGCAGACUCUGAUCUUCAGAAGAGACUAAUUGAGUGUUUUGGUUUUUCUGGAGGUAUGACUGUGAAGGAAACUGUUUGGAGAAUUAUGCAAAAAACAGUAACAAAUGACCUGGCAAAAAAAAUAAACUGGACAGGAGCAAAUGAAAAAAAUCCAUUUAAAUCGACCAAACUGAAAGAUAUAAUCUUGGCUGCUGUCAGGAGAAACAGUUUCACUGCAAACGCAACGGAUGGGGAAAUAGAAAAACACAUAAAAAGGUGGCUUCAGCUUUCUGGGGACAGGGAAGGAGGAAGAAAGGACAGAGAAAAGAGACAUGAAAGGAAUAGUCAAGUUACUGAAUGAAGUUUCACUACAAAAAGACAAGGGUUUAACAAGAAAUUAAUUGGGUUUAUCUAGCUUAAAUAAAAAAAUGUCAAUGAAAAAAUAUGAAAACUAUUUAAAUUGCAUUAACUCAUUAAGUAUCCAUAUAUUAUUUUUUAAAAUUGUAUUAUAUAUUUUUUUGUUUCAAGU
This is a long non-coding RNA of Trichomycterus rosablanca, 600 nucleotides long. RefSeq lists it as uncharacterized. The record is from RefSeq and is a predicted model, not a curated record. Lineage: Eukaryota; Metazoa; Chordata; Actinopteri; Siluriformes; Trichomycteridae. The transcript is spliced from 3 exons.